This 861-nucleotide long non-coding RNA is filed under the name Vulpes vulpes (red fox). RNAcentral describes it as "lncRNA (ENSVVUG00000023053.1)". The record is from RNAcentral. Lineage: Eukaryota; Metazoa; Chordata; Mammalia; Carnivora; Canidae.
CCCGCCGCGGGGCCCUCAGGUACGCGAUUCACCUCAGAGGCCCGCGGGGCUGCAGCCAGGAUUCUGCCCUGUUUAGGCCGCGGGGACGCCUGGCGUCGAGGCGGCCCUGAGGGGACUCGCUUGUUCCAGGCCGCGAGGAGCUGUGAGGUGGGGAAGAAGCCUCGGGAAGUCCUUCAAUCGCAGAAGGAAGCACCGCUGGCACAGAGCCAUCUGAAAACAGUUGCCCAUUCUGGCCGCUCCGCUGCGGGACUGCGAACAGCUUGGCUCCAGCAUCACCACGUGGGAAGUUGGAAGAAUAGUUCAGGGAGCACCCAAGUACUCAACUCCCAGGUUGACAGGUGAAUGCUUUGUCACUCACCUCUUUCGGUCUCCAUAUGCAUCAGAAGCAACUGCCUUAAUAUUAUUCUGACUUCUAGAUUAAUGAAGAAUUUGGAAGAUAAAGUGAGAAAGUUCCUGCCUUCAGACAAAUGGAGAGAUUGCAACCUAAGAAAAGAUGGUUAAGGAUGUUUCCUUGGACUCUGACCUAGGCAGUGCUUCUAGGAUGAGUUGGAGAGAAUUCAAACUGGGUUCUUGAGGUCUCAACCAAAAGGAGGCAUGGCAUGGAAAGAUGAGCGUGAAGUUGCUCAAAGAGAUUGAAACCCAUUGGGAAAAUGCUGUGACCCAGUAUGCUGUGCAAUGGUACCACAAUUAUAGAGACCAGAACAAGUUAUUUAGAGAUAAUACCUGAAUCUAUUAUGUCAUCUUUAUGCUGCUUUCUUAAACACAUUUCCCUUCUAUAUGAAAAAAUUGUGAGAAUAUAAAGUUCAUAUGAAGUGAAAAAACUGGUUGUCUUUUGAAAUAAAAAGCCAUUUUUAGUAGUCA